AUUGAACGCUGGCGGAAUGCUUUACACAUGCAAGUCGAACGGCAGCACGGACUUCGGUCUGGUGGCGAGUGGCGAACGGGUGAGUAAUACAUCGGAACGUGCCCAGUCGUGGGGGAUAACGUAGCGAAAGCUACGCUAAUACCGCAUACGAUCUAAGGAUGAAAGCGGGGGAUCGCAAGACCUCGCGCGAUUGGAGCGGCCGAUGGCAGAUUAGGUAGUUGGUAGGGGAAAGGCCUACCAAGCCGACGAUCUGUAGCUGGUCUGAGAGGAUGAUCAGCCACACUGGGACUGAGACACGGCCCAGACUCCACGGGAGGCAGCAGUGGGGAGUUUUGGACAAUGGGCGCAAGCCUGAUCCAGCCAUUCCGCGUGCAGGAUGAAGGCCUUCGGGUUGUAAACUGCUUUUGUACAGAACGAAAAGGCUCUGGUUAAUACCCGGGGCUCAUGACGGUACUGUAAGAAUAAGCACCGGCUAACUACGUGCCAGCAGCCGCCGUAA
RNAcentral lists this ribosomal RNA (499 nucleotides) under uncultured bacterium. Its description in RNAcentral is "partial 16S ribosomal RNA". It matches the Rfam family "Bacterial small subunit ribosomal RNA", at positions 30 to 523 of the family's 1533-position model. The record is from RNAcentral.